Molecule: long non-coding RNA, 1114 nt
Filed under: Homo sapiens (human)
Lineage: Eukaryota; Metazoa; Chordata; Mammalia; Primates; Hominidae
Description: long non-coding RNA NONHSAT183868.1
Source: RNAcentral
AAGUGCAUUUUCCUGAUCCAAACAAGCUUCAUUGUUUUCAGCUAACAGUAACCCCAGAUGAGGGUUACUACCAGGGUGGAAAAUUUCAGUUUGAAACUGAAGUUCCCGAUGCGUACAACAUGGUGCCUCCCAAAGUGAAAUGCCUGACCAAGAUCUGGCACCCCAACAUCACAGAGACAGGGGAAAUAUGUCUGAGUUUAUUGAGAGAACAUUCAAUUGAUGGCACUGGCUGGGCUCCCACAAGAACAUUAAAGGAUGUCGUUUGGGGAUUAAACUCUUUGUUUACUGAUCUUUUGAAUUUUGAUGAUCCACUGAAUAUUGAAGCUGCAGAACAUCAUUUGCGGGACAAGGAGGACUUCCGGAAUAAAGUGGAUGACUACAUCAAACGUUAUGCCAGAUGAUAAAAGGGGACGAUUGCAGGCCCAUGGACUGUGUUACAGUUUGUCUCUAACAUGAAACAGCAAGAGGUAGCCCCCUCUCCCGUCCUCAUGCUCCCUCUCAGUCCCCUGGAUUGCCCCAGUCCUGUGACCAUGUUGCCCUGAAGAAGACCAUCUUCAUGACUGCUCAUUGUAGAUGGAGAAUUCAACAUAAAUACAGCAAGAAAAUGUGUUUGGGCUUCUGAAGAGUUGUCUGCUUACCUUAACAUGUUUACUUUUUUGAACUUGUACUGUAUAGGCUGUUGGUGAAAUUCUUAAGAAGUUGUAAUGAACUCAAAAUUGAGGCCAGAGCUUGCUUUCCCUUUUCCCAAACAAAAUUGGUUUUCUGCACAAGCGAUGCUAAUGAUGUGUUCAGUGUAACUCGCAGAUUGGCAAUAAGAUACCCGCUACAAACUGUGAUUGGAUGCAAAAUCUCUUAGCUUCUUUCACGAAUGUUGGCCCUGCCUAGAUGUUGUGAAGCCUCCCAGAAUGCAUAGAGUCAUUCACUGUAGAUCUCUUAUUGAAAUGCGUAUUUUAUUUAAUGUAAGUAUAUUUUGGAACAGAUUUGUAAUUUGUACAAUUCAAUGCUUUAAUUAUUUUUUCUAUUCUCAUUUAGUUUGUAUUUUCAUUGUAUAGAGCAGACAGAAAGAUGUUGGGUCAAGCAACUAUUGAAGAGAAAUACAAAGAAAAUAUGAAAG